UGUGUGUGUGUUCAUGUAAAGCAAAGCUGUGGCUGUGGCCCACACACGCUGCUGACUUUGUAAACGCCUGUGUCAGGAUCAAAAGCGGGGCUAUCUGCAGACACACUUGAUUAGUGAAAGGGCAGCUCACAAUAGCAGCUAUAAUGAAGACUGCUGGACUGCUUUUUCUCUCCUAAUGCUCUAAGUACUGUAAGAGCUCAGUCUGUUUUGAUUGGCAUUGCGUGAUCUUCAUGUAAAAAGAGGUAAAGAUCUGAUCAAUUUUUGAGUUUAUCUCUAGCAUUAGUAUUUAUAUAUUUGAUUUCAGAUUUAAUUUUCAGGACAAGGUUUUUUUUUUCUUCCUCCAACUGGAGAUUUAGCUUUAAUCUUGUCUUUUUUAAUCACUUUCCUCACCCCCUGCACUCGCGAUGACUGGACACACUUUCUUUUGUUAUCAAAAGUCCUUGGUUUUGUUUCUUAAUGCUCCAUUUGAAAACCAAUUAGCUUCUCUCUUGGAUUCAAUUACCAAAGUGAAAGGCUAGCGCUAUCUUGCCUCUGCAAUAAUAACACAAUAAUUGUAUUCACACGCAGCUCCUCCUCCAGCCCAGGCCUUUGGCGCACUGCUCUUUCAACCAGUGCCCGAGCCCCUCCUUUGGCCUUGGCUGCGUGCUUGUGAGUUGAUUCAAACGUGGAGUGAUUGUAUCACUUUCUGAUAAACAAAACUCGGCUGUUGGCCUGGCUCGUCUUUCAAAAUCAAUGAGGUCGGUAACAUUCAGAAUGGAUCUCUCCUUGAGGACACGGUAAGCGCCUUGAAAAUGAACUCCAUAUUUCCUCUGCUGUUGGCACAUAGGCGUCUGGGUGUGUGCCUGUGCUGGCUGGAGACUGUGUGUAAAAAUUAGUGUACAUGUGCGACAGCAGAAGGGUCCGAGUUUGCGGCUGGGUGAUUAUGUGUUAGUGCAGAGUGUGUGUCUGUGUGUGCGUGCAUGUGUGUGUCAGCAGUCAGUCAUAAUCUGGAAAGCUUCACCACUCACCAACAAUGUUGAUGAUGUGUGCGCACAACACAGGCAAAUGGCCUGAGACAGCAGUGAAUAUGCGUGUAAUGAGGUUGAAACUGAAGAAAGAUUGGGAGUUCAGACACAAGAGCUGUGUGAGUUGAUUUCUUCAUCCCUCUUUGUUAUUUUCAGAUUCAGCCAAAUGCCACAAUGUUCUUUUUUUUCCAUGACAGGCAAAUGUUGCUUUUGGAGUAUGCUUUAUAUAAGGCACUUUAACCUCAUCUUUUGAAAUAGUAAUUAAUGAAUACAUGUUAAAAGAUUUCAGUGCUUGCUUUACUCAGAAAACUGUAUUUUUGAUAGAUUGAUUAUAAACCAAAUUGCAAUCUAAAAAGAAUAUAUAUUCAAAAGGUUGGCCUCCUUGUUUGUGUCUUAAAGGGAAUGGUUUUCUUAAAUGAGAAAAGUAAGUAUAAUAAAAUGACACUCCGACCUCAGAGUGAGCAUUCUUCUAUUUAAAUAUAUUUAAGACCUAUUCACAAGAGACUGAAGAAGUUCAAAAUGUUUGCAAAGUGAAUUUUUUUUUUCUUUUUUUUUUUAAUUUGUAACUCUAUAGAUGGUAAGUAGGGGUGGGAGAAAAAAUCAAUUCACAUGGCGAUUUUUUUGUUUUAUAAUUUUUAAAUUGACUUUUAUGUUCAAUUUUUUUUUUUUUUUUUUUUUUUUUACAUUAAAGAAGAAAUCUUAAAAACUGCCUUACAUACACUCACCGGCCACUUUAUUAGGUACACCUGUCCAACUGCUCGUUAACACUUAAUUUCUAAUCAGCCAAUCACAUGGCGGCAACUUAGUGCAUUUAGGCAUGUAGACAUGGUCAAGACAAUCUCCUGCAGUUCAAACCGAGCAUCAGUAUGGGGAAGAAAGGUGAUUUGAGUGACUUUGAACGUGGCAUGGUUGUUGGUGCCAGAAGGGCUGGUCUGAGUAUUUCAGAAACUGCUGAUCUACUGGGAUUUUCACGCACAACCAUCUCUAGGGUUUACAGAGAAUGGUCCGAAAAAAGAAAAAAUAUCCAGUGAGCGGCAGUUCUGUGGGCGGAAAUGCCUUGUUGAUGCCAGAGGUCAGAGGAGAAUGGCCAGACUGGUUCGAGCUGAUAGAAAGGCAACAGUGACUCAAAUAACCACCCGUUACAACCAAGGUAGGCAGAAGAGCAUCUCUGAACGCACAGUACGUCAAACUUUGAGGCAGAUGGGCUACAGCAGCAGAAGACCACACCGGGUGCCACUCCUUUCAGCUAAGAACAGGAAACUGAGGCUACAAUUUGCACAAACUCAUCGAAAUUGGACAAUAGAAGAUUGGAAAAACGUUGCCUGGUCUGAUGAGUCUCGAUUUCUGCUGCGACAUUCGGAUGGUAGGGUCAGAAUUUGGUGUCAACAACAUGAAAGCAUGGAUCCAUCCUGCCUUGUAUCAACGGUUCAGGCUGGUGGUGGUGGUGUCAUGGUGUGGGGAAUAUUUUCUUGGCACUCUUUGGGCCCCUUGGUACCAAUUGAGCAUCGUUGCAACGCCACAGCCUACCUGAGUAUUGGUGCUGACCAUGUCCAUCCCUUUAUGACCACAAUGUACCCAACUUCUGAUGGCUACUUUCAGCAGGAUAAUGCGCCAUGUCAUAAAGAUGGAAUCAUCUCAGACUGGUUUCUUGAACAUGACAAUGAGUUCACUGUACUCAAAUGGCCUCCACAGUCACCAGAUCUCAAUCCAAUAGAGCAUCUUUGGGAUGUGGUGGAAUGGGAGAUUCGCAUCAUGGAUGUGCAGCCGACAAAUCUGCGGCAACUGUGUGAUGCCAUCAUGUCAAUAUGGACCAAGCUCUCUGAGGAAUGCUUCCAGCACCUUGUUGAAUCUAUGCCACGAAGAAUUGAGGCAGUUCUGAAGGCAAAAGGGGGUCCAACCCGUUACUAGCAUAGUGUACCUAAUAAAGUGGCCGGUGAGUGUAUGUUGAAGAAAUAUGGUUUCUGGAAAAGUCAGUAGACAAUCAUAAUCGUUCAACUGUUUCACUGGUGUUAAAAAUCGUAGAAUCGCAAUUUAAAUCAAAAUGGCAUCCAAAAAAAUCGUACAGGAAUCAAAUCGGGUGAAAAGCAUAUCAUCCCAGCCCUAAUGGUAAGUCAUCUUUGUCUUGACUACAUUUCACUAGCAUGUUUCAGUAUUCAUCACACAUUUACGCAGCGAUACAUGGAAAUUUUAAAACUUAGGUCAUAAAAAUAUUUGCACUAAGAAUUAUGAAGGUGAGCAAGGCAGCACAGUCGACACUGAAAGACUUGAAGGAUUGCGCAACCUGGAAUUGAAAUCACUACAUCUGAGUGUCAGCCCUGAACUUACACAUUUAGAUAUUUCACAAAAAAUUUAAAAAAAAAAUUAAGCCUGUAAUUAUAUAUAUAUAUUUUUUUUCUGUAUUUUGUAACAAAUGCAUAUACAGCAGAUUUAUCUCAGCAUAAAGAUAAUGUGUGUUUUGUUGAUGCUCAAACAUCUAAUGAGUAAAGAACUGGUAAAUUCAAAGUUUAAACUCUUCUGUUUAAGGAUUUCCUAAGUGGGGCACCACUGGCAGAGCUCGUGCCUCAUGUACAGAGGUUAUGCCUCACGCUGGAAGCCCAGGUUCGAUUUCAGCCUGAGGCCUCUUUCCCGUAUGUCACUGCCUUCUCUAUCCCCAUUUCCUGCUCUAUUCCUCGAGUCCUGUCCUCUCUAAAGAAAGGCAACGAGUCCUAAAAUAAAUCUUUGAAAAACAAAUAUUCAAAGUGAACUCCUUUAAUCAGGUGAUGAAAAGACCGUUUUAUUUUUGCACACUUUAAAUGUCCAAGACCACCAACUAUGCAGCUUAAAGUGUCUCAACACUCACCAUUGUUAGCCGCCACUUCUGUGGGUGCUGUGAUUACAUUUAAUUGGCCUGCCCUCAGAAACCUUUACGCUCACACACUUCACACCAGCACCUCUCGUGGCUUUCUCAAGGUAAGUCUAGAAGGUGCCUCGUAGCUCGCUGACCUCAAAACAGUUUUCACUUCCUGUACGGGUUGAAGUCGUCUUGACCGGAGUAAAUCAACCUCCCCCACGCUUCAAUUACACAUCCCGCUUCUGUUACCAGCUCCCCCCCCCACAACAAUUUUAAAGCUAAUUGCAGCCGACAUAAACAUGCAGUUAGCGUAUUGAUAUGUGGUUAAGGGAGUUAAAUUAUGCACUAGCAUCUCUUUAAGCUGCACUUGAACCUGAGAAGGGGAGGUGAAACAAGGAAGGGGGAAAUACCUUCAGUGCAUGCAAGAGCCAAGAACAUUAGCCCACAUCUGCUUCAGCGUGAUUAUUAUGUUAUCUGUGAUCCGUAAGAAUCAGGUCAACACUGCGGCUGAAAUAUAGCAGGACUUGUUCUAUGAAUAUGUAGAUUUGCAUGUGAUAUUUGCAUAGCUGAAUAGCAGAGAAGUUAAUGCAAACAACAUCUGCUCAGAGUCGUGCACGACGUACCUAGAGUUUUUUUUAUUAUUUGAAAUGUCCACUUUAACCUUUGGAAAUUGGUUGUAACGUUCAGUAUUUACAGAUACUGAUUACAUUUUGGAUCCAGAAUAAAUGAGAAUUGCAAGUGGAGUCCACGCUGAAUAAUGCAUUUAUUGUCCGGAGUCCGAUACCCAUUACUAUGACAAUGUUGACACAAAACACAGAAGCUACAUUGGUGGGAUUAUUAUACGCAAUGAAUGGAAACCUUUUCUAAUGUGCCCAGUUUUUAUUCCGGCCCUGAAAUAAUAGUCUAACUCAGCUCUGGCAACACAAACUUUACAUGCCCCAUCAGCCGCGGCGACGAUUAAGUUAUGAAAACAGUUUGGAGUGGGUCAGUGAUUCUGCCUUGCUCUGCGGCAAGUGUUCAUCUCAGAGAUGUGCUGAAAUGUACGCUGUAUGUAUUCUCAGGGGUACAAGGCCAAAUCAACAAGAAAAACCAUCAGCGUUGAGGGAUAUAAAAGCAAGCAUUUGUCUUUAUUAAAGUGCCCGGUUUACGUAAGAGGACCCCCAAGUCCUCCUUGGAUUAUAAAUGGGCUCUGAAAAUAAACAGGUGUUGAAGAAAGCGAAAGAGAAAAUCUGAAAUCAAUCACUAGAAAUUUUAUAUUUUUCUCUCUCAGAAAUGAAGUGAGCUAUAAAAUCAUCGCACACUAAAAUCCAUACUUGCACCAUUUACUCUUAUUUUUAUAUCAUAAGGGGUCUAUAUUUUUAAACUCUCAAAUAUUAACACCAGAUGAUUUACGAUAAAAAAAAAAAUACACUGUGAAGAUGUAAUACGCUUGAUUAUAAACAUAAAAACACGUCAGAGGUUUUCUUUAUGAUAAUGACAUAAUGGUGUGUCUGCCGUAUAAUGUGGGACCACAAUAAGGUUGCAAUUAAACACAAAUGAUGAUGAUGAUGAUGAUGCACGUACACGAACAACUUUGCAUGUGCACACUUUCUCUGAAUGUUUGAUGCUUUGAUAAAGAGAGGGGAAAAAUAUCCUGAAGUCCGCUGUCAUUAAAUCGGUGUCAGUUUAUUUGUGUAAGACACUGGAGCUCAGGAGGAGAGCUGGAGAGUAAGGGUGGUCCGCAGUCCAUUUAUUCACGGCUCGCUGGCAGCUGAUCAGUGGAAUUUAGUUUUUUGCUGAAAUUUGGAAAAGGGGAGGGUGAAUUUUUUAAAGAAUAUGAGCUCUGAACUUUUAUUCUUUAAGGAAAAGAUUAAGUUUCAGGGUUUUUGUGUGCCAAGAGUCAAUUGAUGACCGGGAGAAAACGGCAGAAUUUAAGUAUAAGAACUGGAGAAGAAACUAAUAACCAUGAAACUAGUUUCUGCAUGUGUAGACAGGCAGGGAGACGUAUUAAUGGAGCAGUAAUGUGGAGGGUACAUUGGCCCGAGCCUCCAGGGCUUACCACGGGGGGGACUUUGGAGCAGCUGUUUUUUAGCUGCUCUAAAUGGAGACGUUGUCCUGUGUGGUGCUCCAUUUUGGAUUCUCAGCCCCCACCCUUCACCGAUACUUCCCCAAACCAGCUUCACUUUCCCUCCCCAUGCGCAGCACAGAGAAGGGGGUCAGGGGUAGCGGCGAAGGUGGGGCAGCCAUCUAAACUGAAGCCAUCAUCAGCCACUCUCCCUCACCCCCACAUACCGACCCCCUACUCCCUUUUCCUGCCUGAUGUGGCCCUUGACAGGAUCUCAUCUCACACGACCAGCCUGGGCUCCCUCCAGAGUGUCAAAGCAGGUCUUAAUUUUAAAAGCCCCUGGGUUCAAUGCAAACUAUUCAGCUAUGCUUACCACUCAAUUAUCUUCCUGUCCCUUUUUUUUUCCACCGCCAAAGCCCCCUCUGAAAGAACCGCGGAGCACUCUGUGGUGGGUCUGACUCGGUAUCAGUUCCCUGGUGCCCCUGUCCUUUAAGACUACAUCCAAACACACGGUGACAAAAGCAAGGAUUUAAGGUCAUUUCAUACGCACAAGAGUGUAUGUGGCGCUCCAGAAAUGGCCCUGCUUCCUUGGAUGCUGGAGUGAUGUCAGCCCCCUUUGAUUCUCUGUUUCUCACAGUAUUUGACAGCCCCUCUGGUAGCCAUUAGUUUGGUUAAGGAUUGCCCCCUUUUCUCCUCCAGUGGUCAGUCAGAAACAAAUAAUGUGCUCUGCCCUCCAGUGUUUGCCGAAAAAGCCCUGCGAGACCUUGCGGCUUGGAAACGUUUACGAAACACUCAGAACCACAGGAAACAUCCAGAGGAAAACGUUCCCUCUCUCCCUUAACCCUCCCUCCCCCCUUCCCCCGCCGCAGCUCCUCACCGGCAAUGGAUUUGGGACCAGAGAGCUUGAGAAAGGUCAAAGGUGGGUAAGAGAAAAGCACAGAUGACUCUCAGAUGGAUUAGCACUAAGUGAUUCAGACUCUCCCACACAAUCACAACACCUAAGAGGUCAUUUUCACGAGGCAUCCGAGAUCAGUCUGUUUUGGUGAUUUCAACCACCAGCUGGGCAGAUGGUACACAGAAUUGUAAAUUUAUCUUGUUCUUUACCAACGAACUGUGAAGGGAGAGAAAACUUCUGCAAGCAAUUUCCCUCUGACAGCUCAGAGGAAUGUUUUGCAUUGCUUGUUUGGCUGAAUCUGUUUUUUUUUCUUCUUGUUUUAUUUAGGAAAGCACUCUAUAAAUAAAGUUUGCAUUAUUACUACAGGAAGGAGCAGAAUUAAUGUCAGGCGGCUGAUUGUUCAAAACCGCCCCAGAAAACAUCCUCAUCAGUAAGUAAGUGGAGCGUAACUCUUUGACAAAUUAUGAGUCCUCGAGCAGAGGUGGGCGAGCCGUCAUCAGUCUUGAGAACAUGUGAAAACAGAGUCAGGUGGGUUAACAUACUUAAACUUAAAUUAACUGUGAUCCAUCAUCGAGAGAAUAUCUCACCCGUCCAGGAAAACAGGCGCGAUAAGAGAGAGGCUGCUUAUCAAAAACCAAACACUGUACUCGUUGGUGUCUAACAAAAACGUCCAAGCAAAGGCUAAAAGUCCAGAUGAGGAGUUGGAUUUCUUUCAGGGUUGGAGAAAACUCCCUCACAGUGGCCUGCUGUAAUGGAUGACUUCACUUCCACUAUCUGUUAGCCAGAGAAAUUAUUACCACGGAUACUUGGUGGUGUAAGGAGAUUGGAUGGGUGAGCCUUAAUAAACUUUUUCAAGCAGGAGCAGAGCCUUGUGAAAAUGACUUUUUUUUUUUGUUCUUAUCUUCAUUUAAGUACAUCAUUUUCUGCUGUGACACACACUGUGUUCACACCACUGAGGUCUAUAUCAUCUCAGAACUGUAAGAUGAUGCCUGACUUUCUCUGCCUGAGUGUAUAGCUAUAAGACAGACCUAUAUUAGGGUGCAUUCACACCAUAGACUGUAUAUACUAUGGACAACUUGGUUCCGCCCUCUGCCGGUAUAUGGAAUUGAAGCCAAAAAGCUCUCGGUAAUUUCGCAUUUUCUCUCCAUUUCCUGAAACCAACAUUGCGCAGUAGUAUUGUGUGCAUUCGGUGGGAGAGAGUCACUGUGAAGACAUUGAUAAAUACUUCAAGGUCAUAAACACAAUCGCCAACGCAGCAAACACUUCAUAUUCAAUCGUCACAACUGAAGCAUUUUUGGGCCUGUAGGGGGCGCUUACUUAAAUUAGACACACACCAGUUUGAGGCAUUAAAAAUUGCAGGAUACAAAUCAUCAAUCUUGACAGAAACGGUCUUAUUUACUUUUAUAUAUCAUAAAAAGGCAUUAAUAUGAAUUGUAGUAUGUUGCAGGAGUGUCAAAAACUCCUCACAGGAAUUUUAAGAAGUACUUGAUAUAGUUGAGUGUCCUCAUUCAGAAAAAUAAAAGGUAUUUGUGGCAUGCCUAAUUUUUUUUAUUUUAGAGAAAUUAAUAGUGUUUUUCCAGAGAUAAUUACAAAUAGAAACUACCAUCCAUUAUCCUGAUAGGAUGUGUUGCAAAAAUAUUUAAUUUUCUCAUGUCAUUAAUGUAUAUCUAAAUUUGUUUCCUGGACUGGUUUAUUGUUCUUUUUUUUUUUUAAAGUAAGAACUUUUUCUGACCAGAAACCAGCAGCUCCAAAGAUUAAAAACAUACCAGUGAAGAGCAGCAGAUUUACACGUCAAAGAGUCUUGUUCUAGAAGCUGUUUUUUUUUUUGUUUUUGUUUUUUUGUAUGUUGCCAAUAUUUUAAAAAGAAUAUUUUAUCAUACAAAAUCGUUGUUAUUAAUUUUCUGUGGACUGGAUUACUAAUGAAUGAACCCUUUGCUAACUCCUUGGCAUUGAAUGUUAACAUUUAGUGCAUUGUUUAUGAAUUGUUUAGCCUAGAAGUAGAACAUCCUUUGAGCUGUGUGUGUAUCACGUACUGUUUUUCAUUUAGUAUUCACUUUGUUUUGCCAGGCUCUCCCUUGGCUUUAAAGUUGCCUGCAUGUGUCUCAUUCCUCCUCGCUGCCUGAGGAAGAGUACCGACUAGAGACACAUUGCAGCGUGUGCAUUAAGACUGAGGAGCUGCACAUCUUUCUAAUGUUAUUUUUGCAUUGUUAAGCAUGAAAUAAUGUCUUUGUGCAUUAGGGCUCUCGUUCUCUCUCUCUCGUUCAAACAUCUUAAAAAAAAACAUCAGAUGUGUCUCGGAUGAGAAGUUUGAUCAGAACUAGGACACUUUAAGCUGAAGUGUGAAUUUUGCUUCAGCCACAGUCCUCCAGCUCCCCCUCUCUCCUGUCAGGCACUUCUCUCUCUCUCUCUCUUUCUCUGUUUUUGACUCCCAGACCGCCCUCUUACAUUCCCUCUUCUCUUUCUCGCCCCCCAUACUUUUCUCCCUCUUCUCCCAAAUCGACCCCCUCCUUUUCGCACUCUGCCCGCUCCUCAAAUGAGACACACUCAUACAUCACUAUCUCUCUAAAACCAAUCUCCCACUAUCUCUUUAUCAGACCCUCUUUCCCUUCCCUCAUUGUCCUCCAUCCUGUGUUUUUCUCCCAGUCUAUCCUCUCUUUACCUCUUUCGGAGCUCUCACAUGUGGACUUGAUCAGUGAGGCUAACGCAGCACAUACAGCUAAAGGCUUGAGGCUGGGGUGUGGUGUGGGGGCAUGUUUGAUAUAAAUCCCC
Molecule: long non-coding RNA, 9542 nt
Filed under: Xyrichtys novacula (pearly razorfish)
Lineage: Eukaryota; Metazoa; Chordata; Actinopteri; Labriformes; Labridae
Source: RNAcentral